Molecule: unclassified non-coding RNA, 377 nt
Filed under: plant metagenome
Description: partial contains 5.8S ribosomal RNA, internal transcribed spacer 2, and large subunit ribosomal RNA
Rfam family: 5.8S ribosomal RNA (bases 1-104)
Source: RNAcentral
AAAUGCAAUAAGUAAUGUGAAUUGCAGAAUUCAGUGAAUCAUCGAAUCUUUGAACGCACCUUGCGCUCCUUGGUAUUCCUUGGAGCAUGCCUGUUUGAGUAUCAUGAAAUCUUCAAAGUAAAUCUUUUGUUAACUCAAUUGGUUUCUACUUUGGUAUUGGAGGUCUUUGCAGCUUCACACCUGCUCCUCUUUGUUCAUUAGCUGGAUCUCAGUGUUAUGCUUGGUUCCACUCGGCGUGAUAAGUUAUCUAUCGCUGAGGACACUGUAAAAGGUGGCCAAGGUAAAUGCAGAUGAACCGCUUCUAAUAGUCCAUUGACUUGGACAAUACUUUUAUGAUCUGAUCUCAAAUCAGGUAGGACUACCCGCUGAACUUAAGC